ACGGGUGAGUAAUGUCUGGGAAACUGCCUGAUGGAGGGGGAUAACUACUGGAAACGGUAGCUAAUACCGCAUAACGUCUUCGGACCAAAGUGGGGGACCUUCGGGCCUCACGCCAUCGGAUGUGCCCAGAUGGGAUUAGCUAGUAGGUGGGGUAAUGGCUCACCUAGGCGACGAUCCCUAGCUGGUCUGAGAGGAUGACCAGCCACACUGGAACUGAGACACGGUCCAGACUCCUACGGGAGGCAGCAGUGGGGAAUAUUGCACAAUGGGCGCAAGCCUGAUGCAGCCAUGCCGCGUGUGUGAAGAAGGCCUUCGGGUUGUAAAGCACUUUCAGCGAGGAGGAAGGCAUAAAGGUUAAUAACCUUUGUGAUUGACGU
RNAcentral lists this ribosomal RNA (377 nucleotides) under Yersinia enterocolitica. RNAcentral describes it as "bacterial SSU rRNA". It matches the Rfam family "Bacterial small subunit ribosomal RNA", at positions 102 to 475 of the family's 1533-position model. The record is from RNAcentral. Lineage: Bacteria; Pseudomonadati; Pseudomonadota; Gammaproteobacteria; Enterobacterales; Yersiniaceae.